Molecule: ribosomal RNA, 496 nt
Filed under: uncultured bacterium
Lineage: Bacteria
Description: partial 16S ribosomal RNA
Rfam family: Bacterial small subunit ribosomal RNA
Source: RNAcentral
AUGAACGCUGGCGGCGUGCUUAAUACAUGCAAGUCGAGCGAACAGACGAGGAGCUUGCUCCUCUGACGUUAGCGGCGGACGGGUGAGUAACACGUGGAUAACCUACCUAUAAGACUGGGAUAACUUCGGGAAACCGGAGCUAAUACCGGAUAAUAUAUUGAACCGCAUGGUUCAAUAGUGAAAGACGGUUUUGCUGUCACUUAUAGAUGGAUCCGCGCCGCAUUAGCUAGUUGGUAAGGUAACGGCUUACCAAGGCAACGAUGCGUAGCCGACCUGAGAGGGUGAUCGGCCACACUGGAACUGAGACACGGUCCAGACUCCUACGGGAGGCAGCAGUAGGGAAUCUUCCGCAAUGGGCGAAAGCCUGACGGAGCAACGCCGCGUGAGUGAUGAAGGUCUUUGGAUCGUAAAACUCUGUUAUUAGGGAAGAACAAAUGUGUAAGUAACUAUGCACGUCUUGACGGUACCUAAUCAGAAAGCCACGGCUAACUACGUG